GUCCCUGCUGGGACAUCCGAUAAAAUUGGAACGGUACAGAGAAGAUUGGCAUGACCACUGUGCAAGGAUGACAAAUUACUAAUCUGAUUUUAU
Molecule: small nuclear RNA, 93 nt
Filed under: Cucumis sativus (cucumber)
Lineage: Eukaryota; Viridiplantae; Streptophyta; Magnoliopsida; Cucurbitales; Cucurbitaceae
Source: RNAcentral